This is a long non-coding RNA of Sinocyclocheilus grahami, 1100 nucleotides long. RefSeq lists it as uncharacterized. The record is from RefSeq and is a predicted model, not a curated record. The transcript is spliced from 3 exons. Lineage: Eukaryota; Metazoa; Chordata; Actinopteri; Cypriniformes; Cyprinidae.
CCCGUGGCCCCCACAGAGGACCAGCUGCAGCGGGAGAUGUGGUAUCACGGCCGCAUGAGCCGCAGGGACGCAGAGAAUCUGCUGGGCCGAGAUGGAGAUUUUCUGGUGCGGGACAGCGCCACUAACCCGGGCCAGUAUGUGCUGACUGGGUUGCAGUGUGGGCUUCCCAAACAUCUGCUGUUGGUAGAUCCUGAAGGAGUGGUUCGGACUAAAGACAUGCUUUUCGAGAGCAUCAGCCACCUGAUCAACUACCACCUGACAAACAAGCUGCCGAUUGUUGCAGCAGAGAGCGAGUUACACCUCCAGCAGGUGGUCUGCAGAAAGAACUGACCUCCAUUUGAAGCCCAUAUAGAGUGCAUGGGUGCAUAGCAGUCACCUGUGCCGCCAAUCUAGAGGCCCCACACUAUUGCCUUAAACAGAUUCUGAGCUUCCACUGGGACUUGUGGGAUAUCGCUGUUCCUUCAGCACUGACCACAAACAGCUUUCAGCAUGUCUUGCUCAAUCAACUCCUUUUUCAACAGAGAAGACCCUAACUGAGAGUUUGGCAUUGGGAAAUAAAGUGAUUGUGAUCACUGAGUUUCCCAGCUGAUUGUUCUUGGCAUUGCCGGAAAUGUGAACUUAGGAGAAACACAUGAGACAAACCAUCUUAUCCUUUACAUCCAUACGAGCGCUCGUCGUCAGUGAGCUGUUGUUCCUAAAUGUGAUGUAUUGAGUAACCGUGGCUCUGAUCUUCUCUGAUGGUCACCUCUGAGACUUUGGACAUCAUCGUGUUGUGCAUAUCAGCGGUUUGCUCUCAGGAUGCAGUAUUUGUUAAGGACGUUAUAUAAAGCUCAUAAGCUCAGUCGCACUAAUGCAGUCGUGUCAAAUGCACAUGUUUAAUUUAUGAACUCAGGACCAAAUGUUUGGGUCGUUCUCAUGUGAUAUUGCCCUUUUUUAAACUUAGUGAUUCAGACAUGCAUCAUACUUCACAAAUAUUCAAUUUCUCUUCUGUGUUUAGUCGCAAACAAAUGCCCACAAUGUGCACAGUUUCGUUUAAAGGUGCAUUCAGUAAUUUGGUGCCAAUAAAAAAAAAUUAAAAAUUAAAAUAAAAGCAGUCACAU